CAAAUAUUACACAGAAACAGUUGCAACCAAGUCGUUCCAGCCUAUUCGAGUGAUAUUACACAAUUUCGAUGUCAUUUUGCAUUCAACACCAAUGCAAUGAUACAUCUAGCAACACUGCCCAUGCUUUGUUUUGGUCGGUGGUUAAGAUGGCCGACGUCGCAAAAGUUCGCAAUCGCGAUGUAUUGCGCAGAUUUAUCGUAGCCAAAAUCUCGGAAAUCCUAUUUAAAGUAUAGAAAAAAGUGUUUUUAUGUACAAAGAAAUCAUUAUUAGUUUAUAACGGAUGCAAUUUGUGAUGUAGUGAAACGAGAAUGUGUAUAAUUCAAUGAGCCAUCAAAGCGGAGCCAACCCCCCAGCAAAAUUACAAUUUCCUCCUGGCCAGUGGCACACAGCGGAGUUCAACCAAGCAGGCAAACAUCAGCGACCAGUAAUAGCCGAAUCCUAUUCACACUCCUCGGAAUUCGUAGGAGGAUCAUUGACUGAGUGCUACAAUCAUAAAAGCGGUUCCGGCGACCUUCCCGUUGAUGUUGCGAGGAGAAUCAAGUACCUAAACAAAUAGCUGCUGAGCCUGUUCCAGUCCAUCGGAUUUUCCCAUUGAAUCACAGCUUCCGUUAGGAAUGGAGUGCUGUUCCUUCGUAGCCGUAAGCAUACAUGGACCCAAUGUACCAGAUCAUCCGCAAGGCACACUGCAACGGAGUGGUGCUUCAAAAGUGUGAACGCUCGAUUCAGUAUUGGAACGGCGACUACGGAUAAACGGAUCGGCGCGAAUGAUGUGAACCAGCUCUGUGGAUCAUUGAUGAGAGGUUUAUCGCCUACGUUAGGCGUCCUAGCCAAUAUGCUUCAUCGUUGUUAUCAUUGUAAAAUUGUUUAGGACAAUAAAAAUAUAAUAAAUAAUUUAAA
Aedes aegypti (yellow fever mosquito) is the source of this 897-nucleotide long non-coding RNA. RefSeq lists it as uncharacterized. NCBI's taxonomy places the organism in Eukaryota, Metazoa, Arthropoda, Insecta, Diptera, Culicidae. The transcript has 2 exons. The record is from RefSeq and is a predicted model, not a curated record.